UACGUAGGGUGCGAGCGUUAAUCGGAAUUACUGGGCGUAAAGGGCUCGUAGGCGGCCAACUAAGUCAGACGUGAAAUCCCCAGGCUCAACCUGGGAACUGCGUCUGAUACUGGAUGGCUUGAAUCCGGGAGAGGGAUGCAGAAUUCCAGGUGUAGCGGUGAAAUGCGUAGAUAUCUGGAGGAAUACCGGUGGCGAAGGCGGCAUCCUGGACCGGCAUUGACGCUGAGGAGCGAAAGCCAGGGGAGCAAACGGG
Molecule: ribosomal RNA, 253 nt
Filed under: uncultured bacterium
Lineage: Bacteria
Description: partial 16S ribosomal RNA
Rfam family: Bacterial small subunit ribosomal RNA
Source: RNAcentral